ACACUGACGCUGAGGUGCGAAAGCCUGGGGAGCAAACAGGAUUAGAUACCCUGGUAGUCCACGCCCUUUACGAUGAGGACUAGCUGUCGGGGGUAUUAAAACCCUUUGUGGCGCAGCUAACGCGUUAAGUCCUCCGCCUGGGGAUUACGGCCGCAAGGCUAAAACUCAAAGGAAUUUGACGGGGGCCCGCACAAGCGGUGGAGCAUGUGGUUUAAUUCGAUGCAACGCGAAGAACCUUACCUGCCCUUGACAUCCCGGGAAUCCCGCAGAGAUGCGGGAGUGCCUUCGGGAACCCGGUGACAGGUGCUGCAUGGCUGUCGUCAGCUCGUGUCGUGAGAUGUUGGGUUAAGUCCCGUAACGAGCGCAACCCUUGUCCCUAGUUGCC
RNAcentral lists this ribosomal RNA (385 nucleotides) under uncultured Gammaproteobacteria bacterium. RNAcentral describes it as "bacterial SSU rRNA". It matches the Rfam family "Bacterial small subunit ribosomal RNA", at positions 737 to 1119 of the family's 1533-position model. Lineage: Bacteria; Pseudomonadati; Pseudomonadota; Gammaproteobacteria. The record is from RNAcentral.